Vigna radiata var. radiata (mung bean) is the source of this 1744-nucleotide RNA transcript. RefSeq lists it as uncharacterized. The transcript is spliced from 6 exons. NCBI's taxonomy places the organism in Eukaryota, Viridiplantae, Streptophyta, Magnoliopsida, Fabales, Fabaceae. The record is from RefSeq and is a predicted model, not a curated record.
UCUUCGGUUGCAAAAAAGGGCAAGAGGAUCAGAGGAGUUACCGUGAUCCAUUGUUGUUCUCUAUCUUAAGUUUUUAUUUCUCUCUCUAGAAUUUUCUAUCUGCUCGUCCUUCCUCACAAAUUAGGGUUUUUGCGAAUCUCUUGUUAGUCUGUAAUCGAAUCGAAGCCAUGGUUUCCGAUUCAAUCUCUGCCGUGCCGAUUCCCUCCGCUGCAAACACUAAGAACCCCGGGAAGAAGAAGAGGACUAACAGGUCUGCAAAAUUGAAGCAGUAUAAAAUCGAUGCGCGCCGCGAACAGUGGCUUUCCCAAGGUGUGGUGAAGAGUAAGGGAUGCAAGGACGGUGUGGACAAUAGCGUCGUUCACGCGCCGCCGCCGUCGGUGAAUCACGGCAAGCACUCCUUGGAGCCUCUUAACACGAGGCGCGAAGGCGAAGAAGACGACGGAUUGAUUCAUCAUGACAGCGAUUCGGAGUCUCCUACCAACUGUCCUGCCGGCGUAUUGUGCGGCAAUGAUUCGGGAACAAACUUCACCGGAAGCAGUAGUGGCGGGAGCAGCAGCAGCAGCAGUUCAAGCAGCGGCGGGUGCUGUUCCGGGAACAUUACCGAGGAGGAAGAGGAGGAGGAAGAAGAAGGCGAGGACGAAGAUGAUGGUUGCUUGGAUGAUUGGGAGGCCAUGGCAGAUGCUUUAGCCGCCGAUGACAAGCACGAAAUUCCUUGUUCUGAUUCACCCCCUGUUGUUUUGCCUCGUGAAGGAUCCAAUUUAGAGUCUCCGAAUUCAAAACCCGAGAGUAGUAGAUUGGUUCCUUGGGGCUCUGGUAGUAGCCGAGCGUGGAGGGCUGAUGACGCCUUUCGCCCUCAGAGUUUGCCCAAUUUGUCUAAGCAGCACAGUAUGCCGAACCCUGAUCGCCGCUGUGUUGGAGGGGUCCCCUGGGCUCGUGUCUCCACGCCUUCCUCGUGUCCUAUUUGCUGUGAGGAUCUGGAUUUGACGGACACGAGUUUCUUGCCUUGUUUCUGUGGGUUUCGGCUUUGCCUCUUUUGCCACAAGAGGAUUCUGGAGGAGGAUGGGCGUUGUCCCGGGUGUAGGAAGCCUUAUGAGUGUGAACCUGUUGAGACAGAGGCGAGUGUGCAUGGAGGCAACCUCACUCUUCGGUUGGCACGUUCCUGCAGCAUGAUCGAGAGGUCUUGAGCCCGCGUUUUUAUCGUCUUUGAAUGAUACUUUGAUUUAUGAGUGGGAAGAGGGGCGGCGACGACGACGUAAGGAAAAGAAGGGGGAAGCAUGGGAUAAUAAAAUCCACCCAAAUAUUGGAGGGCAUUUGAAGGAACAGACAAUAUACCGGUGUUAAAUGUAAGUAUGAAGACAGGUCAAUAGUGUUUUCAAGUUUUUCAAGGUAUGGGAGUAUCUUUAUGGCAUUGUUGUGCAUUAAUCUUAUAGGUUUGAUUCAGUUUUGGUCAAAGAAUAAUUUGUCCUUCCUGCUUCCUUGGGGUUCAAAUAAGUGGUACAUGACUGGUCUACCAUUGAUUUCAAUCAACUACCAUCCGAUCAUCAUCUUGACUCCUUGUAAUCUUUCAAAAUUGUUACUGGUUUGGGGUUUGUUGUAGUGUAGACAAUGGAACUGAUCACGUGAAAGGUACUAAAAAUAUUUGUCGAUGCCUUGUGAGCUAUGGUUAUACAAUCUGUACUUGUAUUAUGUUAAAUGCUUCAUUUGGGAAGAGUUGAUCUUAUGAGAAAUAUGAACCUUUUUCUUA